GAGGAAAAGGAAACCAACCGGGAUUGCCUCAGUAACGGCGAGUGAAGCGGCAAAAGCUCAAAUUUGAAAUCUGCGUAAGCCGAGUUGUAAUUUGAAGAUGGCUACUUUGGUAAUGGCUCUUGUCUAUGUUCCUUGGAACAGGACGUCACAGAGGGUGAGAAUCCCGUGCGAUGAGAUGUCCAUUACCGUGUAAAGUGCUUUCGAAGAGUCGAGUUGUUUGGGAAUGCAGCUCUAAGUGGGUGGUAAAUUCCAUCUAAAGCUAAAUAUUGGCGAGAGACCGAUAGCGAACAAGUACAGUGAUGGAAAGAUGAAAAGAACUUUGAAAAGAGAGUGAAAAAGUACGUGAAAUUGUUGAAAGGGAAGGGCUUGAGAUCAGACUUGGUAUUUUGUAUGGCUUGCUUUCGGGCGGGUCCUCUGCAGUUUACUGGGCCAGCAUCGGUUUGGGUGGCAGGAUAAUAGCAUAGGAAUGUGGCUCUACUUCGGUGGAGUGUUAUAGCCUUUGUUGAUACUGCCUGCCUAGACCCGAGGACUGCGUCUUUG
RNAcentral lists this ribosomal RNA (540 nucleotides) under Fermentozyma sake. RNAcentral describes it as "LSU rRNA". It matches the Rfam family "Eukaryotic large subunit ribosomal RNA", at positions 53 to 605 of the family's 3401-position model. The record is from RNAcentral. Lineage: Eukaryota; Fungi; Ascomycota; Pichiomycetes; Serinales; Debaryomycetaceae.